GAAUUUGAUUAGAGCAGCAAAACUCCAUUUUUACUGCACAAUUGAUAGUAAAAAUCAUGGGCGGAGCUUCGUUUUCGCUGAAUCAACAAUAAUUGUAAUUGCUGGUCCCAGUACCUGAGCAGGAACACAUCAUGCCUUUCCUAUAAAGGGUGUCGUUAAGUAGAGACUUGGCGUAAGAACUCAGUCAUCUUUGCACAAUACUUCUUAUGUAACAUCAGAAUACAAAUAGUAUACGGUUUAUUUUACUCUACAAAUACACGGAUUACCCCCUUUUUGGGUAAUGUACACGCAUGCGCCUUCAAGCGGCCUGGAAUCGAGGCUAGCCUUUACUAUGACCGGCUUGCGAAUGGUGGUAUCGACGGAUCCAGAUAUUAGUAGAUGACCACCAUGAAGUAGUCGGGUGUGUUCUGAGCGUAUGAGGAGUCGGAUGACGAGAUUUUUGCUCACUUCUUUGGGACUCAGUGCGACUCGUUUGUCGAAUAUUUGUGACAGGGCCUAGGAAAACAGCGGGUAUACCCGAGUUUAUUUUUAUUGUUGAAUCGGAUAAAACGUUCUCUAAGCUUCAAAAUGAUACCAAGAUCGACCUCCUAGCUAUUUUCUAUCCGGAGAUAUGUUCGAGGGAACGCUACGAAGUAUUGCAACGCCCAGAUGACGCUCAAACGUCAUGAAUAAUUGUUGAUUUCCGGGCACUUUCGUAUACUUAGUAAAAGAUUUCUGGAGAAGACGAGUUAGUUAGAUGUCUCUAGCUCUCUAGCUAGCUUGUAUAGCGAAGGAUCUUAGAAGAAAUAAAAAGACAAGACAAAGACUCCCGUCGCUCCAAUGGUAAGCUUUCAUGUCUUGUUAUCAGCUUGUACUUACUUUCUGUGUCAUGUAUCAGUCUUAUAAAAGAUUGCUCACUUGCAUGGAGCCUACGUGUUCAUACGGCUUACAGUAUUCGUCUAUAUGCUAGAUUCAUCUAUAUGCUAGAUUCAACUUCUUACAAGAAGCUUUCCUCUAAUUUAGUAUUGGUAUCGUGCUUAGUAUUAGCAGGCCUGAUGGGAUGAGUGAUCACAUCUUGGAGAGCCCUGUGAAAUUGUCCUAUAACAUUUAGUCCUAUAACAUUUAUAUGGAUGGAGGUCGUUCCGGGUCUAUUGGCUAGAAUGUAAGUGACAUUGAUAUUGUGUCUAUCUUAACUUAACUUACUACUUAUCUGUAGGUUGUUAUGGUGAAGACAAGUGGCACGGGCGUCUAAAGAAACAAGAGUGGAUCUACGCCAAGCUAGCUAGCUAGAUAGCUGCUCUUUCUAAUGAAUGUUUGCUACCUGGCUCCUCUUGGUACUGGGCUGAUGAAAUAGUCCUGUACAAGUUGUAAUCUUUUUGUUAAAAAUAAUUAACAACAAUAGGGAUAUUCCCUGGGAAUUUCCCCUCACGUAGACAGUAAAUUUCAUUGUAAAAAAUAAACGUUUGGUGAGUUUCUUCCGCGCUUGACCUGUUUUUACAGGUAGGUAGAGGAGGCUGAAGUUAGCACCUGUGAAAAAAAACAUUUUUUGCCUUCAUUUCUAGGCCUCAUUUCUAGGCCCUGUCACAUUUUCUUCAGAGAAAAUAUUUCUUCUUGCCAGGAUUCUAUUUUCACCCAAUAAGUUGUGACUUUCAUUUGAUCUUGCAAUUUGUAACGAAUCUCAAUGUCCACGCUGUGAUUCUUGUUAGUCGAUGGACUCCUGUGUGUAUUGAUAUGUGGGCGUGUAUGGACCACGCCUAUGAGACCGUAUUUUAAUCGACCUGGUACCUAUUGCGGUGAUGGUGCGCAUGUGCAUGUCCAGCCACGCGGCAUGACAUUAUAGUACGUGUAGAACAACUGUAGAAUUUGUGACCCGUCCUUCGGAAACAAAUAUUCACGAUGUCACAUGGGAAGAUGUUUUUAAGAAGACUACUAACAUCCCUGAAAGACUCGACUCAACAAAGGUAGACUCCUUUUUCUAUUAGGCCACUCCAAGGCGGCUUUUCUCAUUAUUUUGCAUCAUUAUCACACUAUUUUGUACCACAUGGACCAUUCUGCGCAUGCGUAGUAGACGUAGUAGAAAUAAUGAGAUCGAAAUCCAAUAAUGAGAUAGAAAGCGGUGGACCAGAAACCAAAUGGCAUUGAUCUACUUCGAUCAUAUUUUAGCCUACUCUUGUACAACCUAAUACCUCUUAUUAGCGGCCCUACCUAAUUACUGUAUAGAAUAGUUGUGCCCCCCCCCCCCGCUGAAAUCCAUACUUUCAUACAGUACUUUCAUACAGUACCAUACAGUACCACAAUAACUUCUCGAUAAAAGGAUUUAAACCAAGAGCACUUCUUAAAGAUAGAGACCGCUGUGAACCGCUGUGGAUGAAAUACUCAGGGGCAAACGCACUUGCAUCGAAGCACUCCUUUCUCCAAGCAACUACGCAAAAUCAUGCAGCGUGCCAUCGUUUUUCUUCUGAGCUACACGUAGGCCUGCAAGUGGAAGCAAGUGGAAGAGUCGAAAUACUGUCAAGUAGCAUCUACUUUAAUGCAAGAAAUGAGCAAAGUAUUUCUUGAUGAGGCGAGUCGCGUGAAAAAAAAUUCCAAAGCAUACUAGAAGAAGAGUUAGGUCGGAUGUUCAUUAUGCAGCCCUUAACUGGAAAUCGUUAGGUAUGAUGGUGCAAUCGUAGUACAAAGUACACCUAUUGCCAACUGGGAAUUUAAAAAUGAUCUGGUGUGACUACAUGUCCCGUUACCCAAAACCUUAUGUGCAUGAAGUGCUGUUAGUUUCUGUUGUUGGCUGCCAUUACUUGUUGGCUGCCAUUACUUCCAAGUGUUUGGUGCUGUAAAGGUGUGUUUGUGUGCCGUCAUGGAAGAGAUGAUUGUGGUGGAACGCACCGUCCUGGUCUAUGCAAAGAUGGAUGAUAGCCUGGAUGAUAGCCUGCCAUCCAUGCUAUCAUGCCCAUUCCGUUCUUUUAUCCAUUCCCGUUCUUUUAUGGGCAAAAGGCACAUUCGAAAUGGCUGGAAGUACUACCACUACGACAAGUGCUCGAACUCAUGAGGAAAUCAUUUGCAAGGAUUACCAGAAGUGAUUGUCUCAGCAAUGCUACAACGUGUGAAGCCAUACCACCCAGCGAGGCUGGAACACAAUUCCUACUGAACUGAGGAAGUCUCCUGGACUGGACUGGACUGAGAUAAUCAAGCUACGGAAUUUCAGUGUUGGUGAUUUCGUAUAACUAAACUAUGUGAGGGGCUAGCGACUAGGAUCAUCGAGCGACUAGCUAGAGAGUUGAAACUACGAAUCAAAACUGACGUAGUGAUCAGCUCGAAUGACUGUUGUUCCGGGUACGGUUUAUUUUAGGUUCCUCACUAGACAAUAAAGAUAGCAUGCAAAUAAAGAUAGCAUGCAGUAGUAUAACGGCAUCUGUAGAGUAGGUACUGGCUGAUCUAUAAAAAUUAUACAAGCUAUUAGCUUUCCAAUAAUUUAUUGAAGAUUAUUACAUUCACUUCCUGCAUGCUUUGGGUGGAGCUCAAUAGUCGUGCUAAUGUCAAGAAGGUCCAGGCCAGCCAAACUGAAAGCGAUGUUGAAGAAGGGUAAGAAACACAAUGAAUGACAGAAAUCAUAUUUUGUAGAUUUACGAUUUACGUCUGAUUCUGAGCCAGUCUCAUGCGACUAUGUCUGACGAUGAACUUGAAGAAGGGUAAGAAACACAAUGAAUGACAGAAAUCAUAUUUUGUAGAUUUAUGAUUUACGUCUGAUUCUGAACCAGUCUCAUGCACCUCCUCUCUCUCCUGCAGCACUAGCCCCUUUAGGAUCCCCAUCGUCAUUGUCUGGCAAUGAACCUCCUCUCUCUCCUACAGUGUCAUCGCAUCCAGUCCCUUUAGCUCAAAACAACGUAGACUGGUAGCCGAAGUCGACAUCGGUCUCUGAAAGAUCUGGUGGGUUCUGGUGGGUGUAGUUUUAGCAAUGGUGAUAAAUACACAACCUCACUCAUUUUCAUUCCACUUUAACUAAAAAAAAACUAAAUACAGACAUUUUUCUACAUAAUAUCUCAAUGCAAUCAUCAUCGUUACCUAGCAACUGACCACCCCCCACUAACCACUAACAAUUAGCAUGAAGUACUUCGUGGGGCAAAAUUUUCGUGGUUGGAGGUCUGACCACGAAUAUUUUACCCACGAAUGAAGCGACCUUGCCAAGCAGCAUCCACGAAAUGUCUGCUGAACCACGAAUAUUUUGUCCCCCGAAAAUUACCCGCAACUAGGAAAUGUUCUCACGGUCACGGUGACAUGCAAGACCCAGCAGUCGUAUCGGCAGAUGCUCUUUACCAGGUUUACAAGUUCAAUGGUGGCUCACUUAUGUACGAACUAGACGCUAUCCAGACUACAUCCAUGAUACAGCCAUGAUACAGCUUCUUCUUCUUCCGGCUCUAUAUUUAUAUCUCUUGGUAUGACCCCAGUCACCUCGCUGAUGAGGUUGAAGAUCUUGUAGCCAUUAUCAAACGGUUUCGACAGUACUGCACGAAGCGUACCUCGAGGCAAGAUAUUAAAAAUACCACGUGAAAGAGCAGGCGUGCGCAUAGCUCCAACCACAACGAUUUUUUGAAAAUUAUCACUACCGCUGCCGUCAUAUGAGAAUGCAGUCUCUCUCUUCGGAUCCUAGUACUUAGCUAGAAACACCUGACAGAUCACACCUGACGAAAGAUGAUACAUCGCUGUUGCCGAAGGCCUGACAGACACAAGGACCCAAUACACCACAAAUUAAUAUUCACAAACACCACCCUUCGGCAUCUUUGUGAAUAUAAUUUAAUUUAGCCUUGUGUGUUACUCACGUAGAUGUGUGUGUUACGUAUAUUUAAUAGUAUGUACAGCUGGUUCAAGAACAGAGGUUGAGGUUUCCCUUCCAUAAACCGGCUCUCUCAACGUCAACGUGAAAUCUCUUAAAAUUGAUGUACUUAACUUACUUAACUUCAGCUUCUAUGCAUUACGAGCUCCUCCCUCAGUAAGUGCAAGUUAUUAUACUGAGUCGACAAUACAUACAACUUCAGUUGAAUAUAGGUCUGGUCUGUAUCUGAAUCUGAAUACGGUAACCAAAAAAUGUAGUCUGCUGAACAAAUUUUGUAGCAUAAGGAUAAUUUGUAGCAUAAGGAUAAUUAGGGUUACUGAUAGGCAUGUCCUUCUCAAACCGUUUGAGUCAAAAUGGUACACUACGCCUCAGCGAAUCUCACCUGAUGGAGUAGUUCACACCAAAACGUUCAAUCGAAUCUAUAAUUACGUAAAAGGAAUUCGCCACCUAACAUUUGAAAUCCAGGGUGUCCUAUAACGUAAACACUAUAAUUAUAAAUUAUGAGCAGAACAAACACUACCUCGCUACACUUACAACAUCAACUUUCUUCGCUGAUUUGAUCAUAAAUAUUUGGCACACUAAAAAACCUUGUGGAUUCUGAUGCAGGGCACCAUAACUAGCAGGGUACCAUAACUAAGGGUACCAUAACUACCUUGAUGUAAUUAUAAAUUACAGUUGACGGAGUCAGUCCUUACUUGGUUUGGCUUCAUGUUAGGAGGGCACCUACACCCACGUACGCCCACACACACGUUGCAAGGGAAAGCUCCUUCACAGGAUUAUGAAACUACUAGUGUGCAACUAGUGUGCACUCAGAUUUUACACUUGAUUUUCAUCCCGUCUAGGAAACCAGUAGACUUGAUCGUAGGUGCACUACACAACACAGGUGCAACACAGAUGCACUACCACACAGCUCUUCAAUAUUACGAAGAGCUUUUGUUGUAAAAUCCCUUUGUUAUCUAUUUAUGGUCAUGACACACCCUCUAGAGAAAAAUAGGACAAAGUCAGCUCGUAACUUUGUUCACCUUACCUAAUUACAGCAUGCUAACCAAGUCCUGUACGUAGAUAGUCAGAUCGAACACUUUUUAUAUCUGGCUCUAGCGUAUGCGUACGCUAGAGUAUAAAUUAAGACGUAAGCCUGUAGACCACGCCCCAAUUGCGUACGUAGAGUGCAGAAUUAGCAGCCUGAAGAGACAGCUUCUGCCAGGGUUGGCUGCUGUUUUGAUGGACUUUGAAGGUAAACUAUGAACUAGCUGUACGUAGAGAGUGUACAAGUGAACGACUGCUUGAGAGGACUCCCGUAAGAGUGCUGGUCGAAAAAUCGUUCAACUUUGCCGGGGAGAAUUACGAGUAGCAGAGAAAAGUUGACCUCAGUGAGUUUGUAGAGGACGUGCAAGUUGUAGAGGACGUGCAACCUGAGCAAUCAGAUGAGCCAGUAGAUGAAAACGAGGACCUAGUAAACGAUGGUGUACAUGUACUUGACGAAGAUGACAUAUAAAGAAGUAGAAGACUGGAAGGCUCUGUCCAGCCUCAAGCAGCUCAAGCUUCUCAGAAACUAUUCUGAUCUGUACGGCUAGCUAGCAAGGAAUUAACAGCUUGCAGCAAUGCUACAGUGCACUAUUGUUCCCAGACACAGGAGUCUACUGAAGUAAAACAUGGCAGCAGGAUAGAAACAGAAGUCAGGAGGGCGAAGUUGACAAAUGCUAACAAUUAAGUUGAAGACAUGCUUUCAUGUUUGUGACAAUGGACCCAGAACAGUUUUAAUCAUUGGCUCCUCGUAGAGACAAGAAAAGAUACUGGGGAAACCUACUAUCAACACAGCAAACGCUAUAGAAACUGGUAGUGAAAAAACUGAACAGCCAUAGCUAAUUAUCAUGCAGCUAGCUACAGCUUUAUUAUCAUUUCUGUACAUUCAAAAAAUUAUACUUGUACUUUAUACCCUCAAGCUUAUAAUUCCCUGGGAAACUAUGAGCCCUGCUAAACACACACAAGUGGUAUCUAAAGUUGUGUAUACAUAAGUAAUUCAGUUAAGCAAAAUGUAACACACGUGACAAUGUCUGUCUCUUUGUUCUCUCAGUUUUUGUGCCAGUUUUUUAGUACCAUGACGAUUAUGUUUAGGCUCAUGUGAUUUCCGUAUCAUCUUACUUUAGGCGUUUUGUGGCUUGUAGCUACAUGUAUAAGAUCUAACCUUGGUUGGAUUUGCAAAAAAUAAUUAGCCGUGCGUGUGUGUGAGUGUGUGUGUCCCCUGUGUGUGCGUGUCUGUGUGCCCUCUGUAUGUGUGUGUGCCCCCUCUGUAUGUGUGUGUGUGCCCCCUGUGUGUGCUGUGUGUGCGUGUGUGUGUGUAUGUAUGUGUGUGUGUGUGCCCCCUCUGUAUGUGUGUGUGUGCCCCCUGUGUGUGCGUGUGCGUAUGUGCGUGUGUGUAUGUAUGUGUGUGUGUGUGCCCCCUGUGUGUGUGUGUGUGUGUGCCCCUGUGGUGUGUGCCCCCUGUGUGUGCAUGUGUGUGAGUGUGUGUGUAUGUACCCCCUAUGUGUGCGUGUGUGUGUGUGUGCGUGCCCCUUGUGUGUGCGUGUGCGUGUGUGUGUGUGCGUGUGUGAGUGUGUGUGUGUGUGCAUGAGUGACCUGUGUGGGGCCCUGUGUGUGUGUGUGUGUGUGUGUGUGUGUGUGCGCAUGUGUUGUGUGUGUGUGUGCCCCGUGCUACGUGUGUUGUGUGGGCGUGUGUGUGUGUGUGUGUGUGUGUGUGCGCGUGGUGAUCAACCCACUCGUGUAUAUGCAAGCUGGUGGGGUUGUACUCCGUUUUGUUGGCUUUUGCAAGCUGGGUGAAAUAUAUAAUAUUUUUGCAGGGAUGACAAUAGCAUUGAGGAUGAAUGGAGGGAUUAUCAGAGCUUAUAUCAAGACUGAAUGUGUCCGAUAGUUCGCUGACUUUUUCGGAACACUGAUACAGCCCUUUUCCCUUUAGAGGCUAAGAGACUUCUCCCACACACUCUCUAAAGCUGCUUUGUGUGUUUCUGUCAUUCCUGUGAAUUGUAAUGUAUAGUUUACGUUUUGCCCUAUAUUUUACAUCUAUAUCAUUGUACAUUUUAAUGUUGCAUAUCUCACUGCCAAAAAGUUAGCAAAUUACCUAUCUUCAAGAUGAUACUAGACUCAAUUCCAGGAAUUGGUCUGCACAAAGUACUUUACUACAACCACUUAUAGUAUGAUUGUUUUGAUAAACAAACCACGAGGUAUGUUUGGCCUGCGCAAAACCACGUUGUUGUUAAUUUGUGUGCGCAGUCUCAACAGUGACGUAGACAAACCUUUCCAAAACAGGAAGUUCAGAAAUUAAUACCACGCCCAUUUUUUCUAAUAUUUCACGAAACAUUUCAGAGUUCUAAUUAAGAACUAAGUGGCCAGCUUGAAACACCUGUGAUUUCUACAUAUCUCACAGCUAUACAGGACAUCUUCUUUUUUUUUCUUUCUUCUUUUUUCUGCAUCUUUUUUCUGCACCAAGUUUUCGGUUAUCUUUUACUGUUUGUAAAUGUUUGAGCCAAAUUUCAACUUCUGCCUCCGGAAGACAAACAGGCUCAGCCAAUUGUUCAGGCUCUAAGGUAGACGUACUGUUAAAAGCUUUCUGCAAUGUUGCAGAUGGGGGUGGAGCGUAACUUCCAUCCGAGCUUUCCACAUAGUGACCAUUGCACCAUUGCAGAUCCCCUUACAGUCUUUACAAUUUUCUUUUCCCCAUGGUCUUUCUGGAUCUAUGUUCGGCUUUGAAUAUAAAAAAAAAAUUAUUAAAGCCAGACAAUAAGUUUAAUACAGGCUUGCUACAGAGCACCAUGCACCAGAGAGACACUCACUUGUUUUAUAUUAGCUGAUAGAUUUCUUCACAAUUUAACACUUCUUCUUGCAGCUAGAUCUUCUAUAUUUAGCCUUCUCUAGCACAUUUUAUAAUAUUUUAUUAAUAGAGUUGCAAUUAGCACAUGGCUAAUUUUUUACUGCGCAUGCGCAGAACAGUAUUAUCAAAUUCCCUGCAUCUGGGGCAAAAUGUAUAAUCAAAUCCCCACAUAAGCCCCACCUAGUGCCCGUACUGGGGGAGGUGGGGCUUGCCAUUGAUAGGUGCAUAAUGGUUAUGAGCGCACGUGAUAAAACCUGACGGUGGAUGACGCGCGUCCAACCUCCUCUAGGUGAACUUAAACUUAGUCGAUCUCACCGAACGUUCAUUUUUUACAAUGAAAUUCCCUGGGAAUUUCCCUAUUAUUGUUUAACAAAUAAAAGAUGACAACUUGUACAGGGCUAUUUCAUCAGCCCAGUACUUACAAUCAUCAAGAGAAGCCAGGUAUAUUAUAGCUCCACAACAUAAUUUAGCAACAGAAAUAGAGCUAGC
Molecule: long non-coding RNA, 9158 nt
Organism: Halichondria panicea
Lineage: Eukaryota; Metazoa; Porifera; Demospongiae; Suberitida; Halichondriidae
Exons: 3
Source: RefSeq, a predicted model, not a curated record